GAGUUUGAUCCUGGGUCACGAUGACCGCUGGAGACGGGCCUAACACAUGCAAGAUGAGCGAGAAAUCACUUUUGGAUGCUUCGGUAGACUUAGGAGAUGGAGAGCAGCGGACGGGUGACUAACGCGUGGUAAACCUGCCCUUGACAGGAGGAUAGCCGAAAGAAAUUUCGAUUAAUACUUCAUAAAGCAGAGCAUUCGCAUGGAUGAGCUGCCAAAGAAUUAUCGGCCAAGGAUGGUCCCGCGUCUGAUUACCUGGUUGGUAAGGUAGCGGCUUACCAAGGCGACGAUCAGUAGCCGGCCUGAGAGGGUGAACGGCCACCUUGGAACUGAGACACGGUCCAGACUCCUACGGGAGGCAGGACUGGGGAAUAUUGCACAAUGGGCGAAAGCCUGAUGCAUCAACGCCGCGUGAAGGAAGAAGGCUUUCGAGUCGUAAACUCCUGUCCAAAGGGAAGAAUAAUGACGGUACCUUUGAAGAAAGCCCCGGCUAACUACGUGCCAGCAGCCGCGGUAAUACGUAGGGGGCGAGCGUUAUCCGGAAUUACUGGGCGUAAAGAGUAUGUAGGUGGUUAAGUAAGCGUAGGGUUUAAGGUGACAGCCCAACUGUCGUAUGCCCCGCGAACUGUUUAACUUGAGUACAGGAGGCGAAGGCGGAAUUCCUAGUGUAGCGGUGAAAUGCGUACAUAUUAUGAGGAACACCA
Molecule: ribosomal RNA, 701 nt
Filed under: uncultured bacterium
Lineage: Bacteria
Description: bacterial SSU rRNA
Rfam family: Bacterial small subunit ribosomal RNA
Source: RNAcentral